AGAGUUUGAUCCUGGCUCAGAACGAACGCUGGCGGCGUGCCUAACACAUGCAAGUCGAGCGCGAAAGUCCCUUCGGGGGCGAGUAGAGCGGCGGACGGGUGAGUAAUACAUGGAUAAUCUCCCUUCGAGCUCGGGAUAACACUGCGAAAGCGGUGCUAAUACCGGAUAAGACCACGUCACCCAGGUGAUGCGGUAAAAGAUGGCUUUGUUUUCGGAUGAGGCUAUCACUUAAGGAUGAGUCCAUGGCCUAUCAGCUUGUUGGUGAGGUAAAGGCUCACCAAGGCGAUGACGGGUAGCUGGUCUGAGAGGACGACCAGCCACACUGGGACUGAGACACGGCCCAGACUCCUACGGGAGGCAGCAGUGGGGAAUAUUGGGCAAUGGGCGAAAGCCUGACCCAGCGACGCCGUGUGGGCGAUGAAGGCCUUCGGGUUGUAAAGCCCUGUUGGGUGGAAAGAAGGGCUCUAGGACGAAUAAUCCCUGAGUCUUGACGGUACCACCAGAGGAAGCACCGGCUAACUCCGUGCCAGCAGCCGCGGUAAUACGGAGGGUGCAAGCGUUGUUCGGAAUUACUGGGCGUAAAGGGCGCGUAGGUGGUUGUGUAAGUCAGAUGUGAAAUCCCGAGGCUCAACCUCGGAACUGCAUCUGAUACUGCAUGACUAGAGUGCAGCAGAGGGAAACGGAAUUCCCAGUGUAGAGGUGAAAUUCGUAGAUAUUGGGAGGAACACCGGUGGCGAAGGCGGUUUCCUGGGCUGACACUGACACUGAGGCGCGAAAGCGUGGGUAGCAAACAGGAUUAGAUACCCUGGUAGUCCACGCUGUAAAC
Molecule: ribosomal RNA, 826 nt
Filed under: uncultured bacterium
Lineage: Bacteria
Description: bacterial SSU rRNA
Rfam family: Bacterial small subunit ribosomal RNA
Source: RNAcentral